GUUAAGUGACUAAGCGUACAAGGUGGAUGCCUUGGCAAUCAGAGGCGAAGAAGGACGUGCUAAUCUGCGAAAAGCUUGGAUGAGUCGAUAAGAGGCGUUUAAUCCAAGAUAUCCGAAUGGGGAAACCCAGUAGAUGAAGAAUCUACUAUCAACAAGUGAAUUCAUAGCUUGUUGAGGCAAACCGGGAGAACUGAAACAUCUAAGUACCCCGAGGAAAAGAAAUCAACCGAGAUUUCGUCAGUAGCGGCGAGCGAAAGCGAAAGAGCCAGUAAGUGAUAGCAGUAUAGUGAGGAGAAUGUGUUGGGAAGCACAAUCAAAGAGGGUGAUAAUCCCGUAUCUAAAAACCAUAUUGUGGUACUAAGCUAACGAGAAGUAGGGCGGGACACGUGAUAUCCUGUUUGAAGAAGGGGGGACCAUCCUCCAAGGCUAAAUACUCCUGAUUGACCGAUAGUGAACCAGUACUGUGAAGGAAAGGCGAAAAGAACCCCGGUGAGGGGAGUGAAAUAGAACCUGAAACCUUGUACGUACAAGCAGUGGGAGCCCCAUCACUUAAUCCGAUUGGAAGGUGAUGAAAAGCAACCGCAUUUAAACAAUGGUAAGAGGAGCGAAGCGAGUCAAACCACCCAAAAGAAGCAGUGGGAUUAAGUGAUGGGGUGACUGCGUACCUUUUGUAUAAUGGGUCAGCGACUUAUAUUUUGUAGCGAGGUUAACUGAAUAGGGGAGCCGAAGGGAAACCGAGUCUUAACUGGGCGAGUAGUUGCAAGGUAUAGACCCGAAACCCGGUGAUCUAGCCAUGGGCAGGUUGAAGGUUGGGUAACACUAACUGGAGGACCGAACCGACUAAUGUUGAAAAAUUAGCGGAUGACUUGUGGCUGGGGGUGAAAGGCCAAUCAAACCGGGAGAUAGCUGGUUCUCCCCGAAAUCUAUUUAGGUAGAGCCUUGAGGUGACACCUUUGGGGGUAGAGCACUGUUUCGGCUAGGGGGCCAUCCCGGCUUACCAACCCGAUGCAAACUACGAAUACCAAAGAGUGAUACUCAGGAGACACACGGCGGGUGCUAACGUCCGUCGUGGAGAGGGAAACAACCCAGACCGCCAGCUAAGGUCCCCAAGUCUAUAUUAAGUGGGAAACGAAGUGGGAAGGCUUAGACAGCUAGGAUGUUGGCUUAGAAGCAGCCAUCAUUUAAAGAAAGCGUAAUAGCUCACUAGUCGAGUCGGCCUGCGCGGAAGAUGUAACGGGGCUGAAAUAUAGCACCGAAGCUGCGGCAUCAGAAUUUAUUCUGUUGGGUAGGGGAGCGUUGUGUAAGCGGAAGAAGGUUCAUCGAGAGGUGGGCUGGACGUAUCACAAGUGCGAAUGCUGACAUAAGUAACGAUAAAACGGGUGAAAAACCCGUUCGCCGGAAGACCAAGGGUUCCUGUCCAACGUUAAUCGGGGCAGGGUGAGUCGGCUCCUAAGGCGAGGCUGAAAAGCGUAGUCGAUGGGAAACAGGUUAAUAUUCCUGUACUUGGUAAAGCUGCGAUGUGGGGACGGAGUAGGUUAGGUUAUCGCACUGUUGGAUAUGUGCGUUUAAGUUGGUAGGUGGGAAGUUUAGGCAAAUCCGGACUUCCUUAACACAGAGAGAUGAUGACGAGGCUCUACGGAGCUGAAGUAACUGAUACCACACUUCCAGGAAAAGCCACUAAGCGAAAGGCUUUACUAAACCGUACUGAAAACCGACACAGGUGGUCAGGUAGAGAAUACUCAGGCGCUUGAGAGAACUCGGGUGAAGGAACUAGGCAAAAUAGCACCGUAACUUCGGGAGAAGGUGCGCCGGCGUAGAUUGUAAGGGCUAGCCCCUGAAGGUUGAACCGGUCGAAGAUACCAGCUGGCUGCAACUGUUUAUUAAAAACACAGCACUCUGCAAACACGAAAGUGGACGUAUAGGGUGUGAUGCCUGCCCGGUGCUGGAAGGUUAAUUGAUGGUGUAAUCGAAAGAGAAGCACCUGAUCGAAGCCCCAGUAAACGGCGGCCGUAACUAUAACGGUCCUAAGGUAGCGAAAUUCCUUGUCGGGUAAGUUCCGACCUGCACGAAUGGCAUAAUGAUGGCCAGGCUGUCUCCACCCGAGACUCAGUGAAAUUGAAAUCGCCGUGAAGAUGCGGUGUACCCGCGGCUAGACGGAAAGACCCCGUGAACCUUUACUAUAGCUUGACACUGAACAUUGAAUUUUGAUGUGUAGGAUAGGUGGGAGCCUUUGAAGCAGUGACGCCAGUCAUUGUGGAGGCGACCUUGAAAUACCACCCUUUAACGUUUGAUGUUCUAACGAAGAUGACGAAACGUGGUCUCGGACAGUGUCUGGUGGGUAGUUUGACUGGGGCGGUCUCCUCCCAAAGCGUAACGGAGGAGCACGAAGGUUUGCUAAUCACGGUCGGACAUCGUGAGGUUAGUGCAAUGGUAUAAGCAAGCUUAACUGCGAGACAGACAAGUCGAGCAGGUACGAAAGUAGGUCAUAGUGAUCCGGUGGUUCUGAAUGGAAGGGCCAUCGCUCAACGGAUAAAAGGUACUCCGGGGAUAACAGGCUGAUACCGCCCAAGAGUUCAUAUCGACGGCGGUGUUUGGCACCUCGAUGUCGGCUCAUCACAUCCUGGGGCUGAAGUAGGUCCCAAGGGUAUGGCUGUUCGCCAUUUAAAGUGGUACGCGAGCUGGGUUUAGAACGUCGUGAGACAGUUCGGUCCCUAUCUGCCGUGGGCGUAGGAGAAUUGAUUGGGGCUGCUCCUAGUACGAGAGGACCGGAGUGGACGCACCACUGGUGUUCCGGUUGUGUCGCCAGACGCAUUGCCGGGUAGCUAAGUGCGGAAGAGAUAAGUGCUGAAAGCAUCUAAGCACGAAACUUGCCAAGAGAUGAGUUCUCCCAAUCUAAGAGAUUGUAAGGGUUGUUGUAGACUACGACGUAGAUAGGUCUGGUGUGUAAGUGUAGUGAUACAUUGAGCUAACAGAUACUAAUUGCCCGAGAGGCUUAAC
RNAcentral lists this ribosomal RNA (2997 nucleotides) under Haemophilus influenzae R2846. It matches the Rfam family "Bacterial large subunit ribosomal RNA". The record is from RNAcentral. Lineage: Bacteria; Pseudomonadati; Pseudomonadota; Gammaproteobacteria; Pasteurellales; Pasteurellaceae.